Molecule: transfer RNA, 72 nt
Filed under: Marmota monax (woodchuck)
Lineage: Eukaryota; Metazoa; Chordata; Mammalia; Rodentia; Sciuridae
Description: tRNA.Thr
Source: RNAcentral
GUGGCUGUGGCUGAGUGGUAGAGUGCUCGUCUCGUACAUGUGAGGCAACUGGGUUCCAUCCUCAGCACCACA